CACGUAGGGUGCGAGCGUUGUCCGGAUUUAUUGGGCGUAAAGGGCCCGUAGGCGGUUUGGUAAGUCGGGUGUCAAAACUCCAGGCUCAACCUGGAGCGGCCAUCCGAUACUGCCAUGACUUGAGUCUGGUAGGGGAGUGCGGAAUUCCUGGUGUAGCGGUGAAAUGCGCAGAUAUCAGGAGGAACACCGGUGGCGAAGGCGGCACUCUGGGCCAGUACUGACGCUGAUGGACGAAAGCGUGGGGAGCAAACAGG
This 254-nucleotide ribosomal RNA is filed under the name uncultured bacterium. RNAcentral's name for it is "partial 16S ribosomal RNA". It matches the Rfam family "Bacterial small subunit ribosomal RNA", at positions 524 to 776 of the family's 1533-position model. The record is from RNAcentral.